RNAcentral lists this microRNA precursor (67 nucleotides) under Bombyx mori (domestic silkworm). RNAcentral's name for it is "mir-2774 microRNA precursor family". It matches the Rfam family "mir-2774 microRNA precursor family". The record is from Rfam by way of RNAcentral. Lineage: Eukaryota; Metazoa; Arthropoda; Insecta; Lepidoptera; Bombycidae.
ACAAUAUUCGGAUCGUCGGUCUACCGAGCACUUUCAACCACUCUGUGGAAGAUCUUCCGUUUGUCGG